This 253-nucleotide ribosomal RNA is filed under the name uncultured bacterium. RNAcentral's name for it is "partial 16S ribosomal RNA". It matches the Rfam family "Bacterial small subunit ribosomal RNA", at positions 524 to 776 of the family's 1533-position model. The record is from RNAcentral.
UACAGAGGUCUCAAGCGUUGUUCGGAUUCAUUGGGCGUAAAGGGUGUGUAGGUGGCGCCGUAAGUCGGGUGUGAAAUUUCGGAGCUUAACUCCGAAACUGCAUUCGAUACUGCGGUGCUUGAGGACUGGAGAGGAGACUGGAAUUCAUGGUGUAGCAGUGAAAUGCGUAGAGAUCAUGAGGAAGACCAGUGGCGAAGGCGGGUCUCUGGACAGUAACUGACGCUGAGGAGCGAAAGCGUGGGGAGCGAACAGG